Non-coding RNA from Rattus norvegicus (Norway rat), 69 nucleotides. NCBI's taxonomy places the organism in Eukaryota, Metazoa, Chordata, Mammalia, Rodentia, Muridae. The record is from Rfam.
GGGGAUUUAGCUCAGUGGUAGAGCGCUUGCCUAGCAAACGCAAGGCCCUGGGUUCGAUCCCCAGCUCUG